Molecule: ribosomal RNA, 490 nt
Filed under: uncultured bacterium
Lineage: Bacteria
Description: partial 16S ribosomal RNA
Rfam family: Bacterial small subunit ribosomal RNA
Source: RNAcentral
AUUGAACGCUGGCGGCAGGCCUAACACAUGCAAGUCGAACGGUAACAGGAAGAAGCUUGCUUCUUUGCUGACGAGUGGCGGACGGGUGAGUAAUGUCUGGGAAACUGCCUGAUGGGGGGGGAUAACUACUGGAAACGGUAGCUAAUACCGCAUAACGUCGCAAGACCAAAGAGGGGGACCUUCGGGCCUCUUGCCAUCGGAUGUGCCCAGAUGGGAUUAGCUAGUAGGUGGGGUAACGGCUCACCUAGGCGACGAUCCCUAGCUGGUCUGAGAGGAUGACCAGCCACACUGGAACUGAGACACGGUCCAGACUCCUACGGGAGGCAGCAGUGGGGAAUAUUGCACAAUGGGCGCAAGCCUGAUGCAGCCAUGCCGCGUGUAUGAAGAAGGCCUUCGGGUUGUAAAGUACUUUCAGCGGGGAGGAAGGGAGUAAAGUUAAUACCUUUACUCAUUGACGUUACCCGCAGAAGAAGCACCGGCUAACUCCGUG